RNAcentral lists this ribosomal RNA (429 nucleotides) under Triticum aestivum (bread wheat). Its description in RNAcentral is "partial small subunit ribosomal RNA". The record is from RNAcentral. Lineage: Eukaryota; Viridiplantae; Streptophyta; Magnoliopsida; Poales; Poaceae.
AUGGUGAGUAGGGGCGGCAUCUACGGCAUCGCCCCCCGGGGCAUCGAACUUGGUGGUGUCAGCGUCCGUAGCGUGGGCUUGGUGAAGACGAGCUCCGGCGGCGCGUCGUCUUCAUCGAGCGGUGGUGAGUGGGGUUGGCCACCGUGGCGCCGACCUCUGGGGCACCGACCUCUGUGGCGUCGACGGUGGGCGGUGUCGUGGCGUGCUCCAGGUCGUCAUCUUGGUCGAACCGUCGUGACGAGGUGGACAGCAGGUGAUGAUGGCGACCUCCUCGUCGUUCUUGGUAACGUUGGCUUGGUGAAGGCCAUCCCUGGCAACAUUGACUUCAUCAUCCGGUCCGGCGGCUCCACCUUCGGCGGUGGUCCAAUCAUGCAAGGCAACGCUGUGCAUGCUAUAUGCCAAGAAAGAACUAAGAAAGAGAUUUGUUAG